AUGAUGUCCAGGUACGACUGCCAGGCCUCUCUCCGGGUCUCCUGGGUGGCCGGGGGUCUUCCCCGGCUCCUCAGCGCCCCCAGGGUCAGCAGGACCAGGUCUCUGUUCCUCCGCUCCACCCGCUCCACCUCCUGGUCUCUCCUCCUCUCCACCUCCUGGUCUCUCCUCCGCUCCACCUCCUGGUCUCUCCUCCUCUCCACCUCCUGGUCUCUCCUCCUCUCCACCUCCUGGUCUCUCCUCCUCUCCACCUCCUGGUCUCUCCUCCUCUCCACCUCCUGGUCUCUCCUCCUCUCCACCUCCUGGUCUCUCUUCCUCUCCACCUCCUGGUCUCUCCUCCUCUGGACCACCUCCUGGUCUCUCCUCCUCUGGACCACCUCCUGGUCUCUCCUCUCCACCUCCUGGUCUCUCUUCCUCUCCACCUCCUGGUCUCUCCUCCUCUCCACCUCCUGGUCUCUCCACCUCUGGACCACCUCCUGGUCUCUCCUCCUCUCCACCUCCUGGUCUCUCCUCCUCUCCACCUCCUGGUCUCUCCUCCGCUCCACCUCCUGGUCUCUCCUCCUCUCCACCUCCUGGUCUCUCCUCCUCUCCACCUCCUGGUCUCUCCCCCUCUGGACCACCUCCUGGUCUCUCCUCUCCAACUCCUGGUCUCUCCUCCUCUCCACCUCCUGGUCUCUCCUCCUCUCCACCUCCUGGUCUCUCCUCCUCUCCACCUCCUGGUCUUUCCACCGGACCCCCCUCUCUACCUCCUGGUCUCUCCUCCUCUCCACCUCCUGGUCUCUCCUCCUCUCCACCUCCUGGUCUCUCCCCCUCUCCACCUCCUGGUCUCUCCUCCUCUCCACCUCCUGGUCUCUCCUCCUCUCCACCUCCUGGUCUCUCCUCCUCUCCACCUCCUGGUCUCUACCCCUCUCCACCUCCUGGUUUCUCCACCGGACCCCCCUCUCCCUCUCCCUCUCCUCCAAACCCAUUCCCUCUACCUCCUGGUCUUUGCUGCUUGUUAUUCUGCGAAAAUGA
This 1011-nucleotide long non-coding RNA is filed under the name Gadus morhua (Atlantic cod). RNAcentral's name for it is "lncRNA (ENSGMOG00000025700.1)". The record is from RNAcentral. Lineage: Eukaryota; Metazoa; Chordata; Actinopteri; Gadiformes; Gadidae.